This 5517-nucleotide long non-coding RNA is filed under the name Bemisia tabaci. RNAcentral describes it as "lncRNA ENSSSA2NGG011685". The record is from RNAcentral. Lineage: Eukaryota; Metazoa; Arthropoda; Insecta; Hemiptera; Aleyrodidae.
GUCACUGACUGUUUUUUCUCCAUGAUGCUAUGUUCAGUGGAAAAAUGAAUAUACUUUAAUGCAAUUAAAGCUAAUCUGUUCUUCAUAUAUUAUUUUCCAGGUCUCGCUCCUUUGAACGUCGGCGAUCUAGAUCCCGAUCAUAUUCAUUUUCUUUAAGCAGAUCACGAAGCAGAUCUCCUACCUCUCGGAAGUACUCUCCCAGACCUUUGAAGCCGAAGCGAGAAAAUUCACUUUCUCCAUACUCUCUAAGGCACAAAGCACAAUCGUACAGGGAUCGCUCACCCCCACCUUACAAUGAUUCUUUCAAUGAUCCCCCUUACGGUCGUGACAAAUCCUUCCGUAACUCUCACUUCAGAGGAAAUUUCAACCGUGGUACACGUAGUGGGCGCCACACUCGCACAGGAAAUCAGUUUCAACAAUCCUCAUCUUAUUAUCAAAAUAAUACCAUUCCUGAAGAGAACCAGUCCAGGUAUGGUGAUAGAACUCGUGGAGGCAAUUAUAGUCACUCGGAUACUCUCAACUAUAGUAACUCAAGGCGUUUCAAUGACACAAUUAGACCUCCAGGGGAAUCUGGAGACUACUAUGGUAGGGAUCCUGGUUUUGAUGAUAAUCCUCGAAGCCCACGUAGAAGCAAAGAACAGAUCAAAGAACCUGUGCAACGAAUGGAACAUCGACAGGAUCGGAAUGAUCAUCGUGGAAAUCGAAAUUCUGAAUGGAGCACACGAGAAGUUGAAGCAGACUUCCGAGAUCGACCAUCUGACUAUGAGGGUAAAGUGUAUUCACGAAAAUCUGCCUCCCCUGUGCACAAGCAUUCUCGAGGACGGCAUGGUAGAGAUUUUGUUGAAGAUAAUGAUUACAAAAAUGUGCAAGUGUACAGUUCAAGUCGUUAUCCUCCUGAUAACCGAGGAGUCAAUAUAAAUCAUAGUGUGCUAGUUGACGUUAAACGUGAACCUUCUGCUGAUAAAGAUUAUGAAAAAGAAAAGCGCUCAAAAGAUCGUGAGAAGGAAAGAGAAAAGAGAAAGAGCGCGAAAGAGAACAAAGAGAGAAAGAAAAAGAGAAAGAAAAGGAAAAAGAGAAAAUUAAAGAAAAGAAAAAGAAAAAGUCUGAUCCUGAUAAAAAAGAGAAGAAAAGAAGAAGAAAGAGAAAGAUAAGGAAAAAGACAAAGAAAAAGAAAGGAAGGAAAAACCAACAGAGGCAGUGAAUGUUCCAGUAGAGAAUGAUGAUACGACUGUUGCUCCUGUAAUGGCAGAGGAUCGAUUGGAUGAGGAAACGCAGAACCGAGGAAAAGCUGAAGAAAGUUUCAAUAAUGAACUGGAAAUUUCAGAAACAGAACCAGUACCAAAUGUAGAGAAUACGUCUUCCACUGAAGGAGAGGAUUUAAAUAAGACUGAUGAAAAUAUACUAUUAGCAGAAGUUCCGGAAAAAUCUAAAUGGGAAUUAGAUGAAGAUUUACCGAUUACAGAAGAUAAAAUGAGUGUAACUCAAGAAAUUGAUGAAAAUACACAAGGUGAAGAUUCAAAAGCUAUCACCUCCGAGGUUUUGAUGCGCGCUGAAAAUGUAUUUUCCAAAGAGGGGAUAGUAAUGCAAUACGCUCCAGUGGUGCACCCAGCAAUGGGUCCAGUAGCAAAAAGUCAAGCCCUGACACUGUCAAAGUACCUAAAGAAGAACAAGUCACUAAAACAAAAGAGGAACCAGUCCUCAAGAAGAAGGAGGAACCAAUUGUCAAGAAAAAAGAGGAACCAGUUCCUAAGAAAAAAGAAGAGCUAGCUCCCAAGAAAAAAGAUGAAUCAGCUCCUAAGAAAAAAGAGGAGCCAAUCUCCAAGAAAAGAGAGGAAGCGAUUCCCAAGAAAAAAGAGGAGCUGGUCCUCAAGAAAAAGGAAGAAUUAGUCAUUAAGAAAGAGAAAGUAAAAGAAGAGCCCCUCGUGAGGAAAGAGGAAGGUGAACUGAAGCUAUCAAAACAAGUUAAAGCCGUUAGUCUUCCUGGUGAGAAGACAAGGAGCACAAGGGAGACAAAGAAGACAGGUCCUUCUUUUAAUGUCACAUUGCCUGCAAAAUCACCCGUUAAAGAGGUGAAAAUUGUACACAUUGAACCAGAGCAUAGAAUUUCUGCCAAAGAUCGAUUAGGCCCUAAAAACCGAUGGUAGUGAUGAAAGUCUUAGAGCAGCCAAGCAUCCAAAAACCUGGGGCUCAGAUCGCAAAUACCUAGAGCAGAGGAUAGUCAUCCACUCUGACCACUCUGGUCCAUUUUUAGACAAAUUACCACAACUGGAAAAGAAAGUUCACCAUCAUCAUAGCCAUGACAGGAAAAAAAUUAAAGAUCGCUCUAAAAGUAAGUCACCCUCUCGUCAUAAAUUGAAAAAAGAGAAAAAAUUAGCUCGAGAGGAAGCAAAGAAGCAGAAGCAUACUGCUAAAGAAGCAGGAAACCGAGAAUUACAUAAAGAGCUCAGCAAUCCGAAGAUAGAAGUUGACCGAAAAAAAUCAAUAACCCUAGACGAGUCGACAUUUGAGCCCGAUUAUGAUGCUUUGUCACAUUCUGAGUCCGAGCUGGAGGUCCCUGGCGAGGAAAGGCUUUUAAUUCAUGAACCUAUGAUCAUUAAUGAGAGUGCGGAAGAAGCAGAAGAAGUAAUAUUAAAGAAACGAUCAAGAUCAAAGAGCGAUGAUGUAAGAGAAGCGCAAAGCAAAAGAGUUAAAGUAAUCGAGGUCGUAAAAGCUGCUUCCUCGGCAUCAUCUGAUUCUGAGUCGAGUAGUUCAAGUGAAUCGAGUGAAGAAGAGAAGGAGAAAAGAAGAAAGAAAAGAAAGAGUCCAAGAAGAAACGCAAGCACAAAAGAGGAAAGUAGAAGUAUCCUCAGAUUCAGAUGACUCAGAUGAUUCAUCUGACGAGUCCCUUGUUGAGACAAAGAAGAAGCACAAGAAAAAUAAGAAGAAAACUCAUAAGAAAAAAUCGAAAAAAAGAAGGCUAAAAAUAGGUUUUUUUUUAAUAUUUCAUUUGCAGAUACUGUAAUUCUUUCAAAAAAUAUUACAGUUUUCUUUUAAGGUAGUAACAAUAUGCAGGUCAACAAACAGUGGCGCUCAGUAUUCAACCAUCAUUUUAUUUUCUGAGAAUUUUCCCGGUAACGACUUGAAUAAAUGGCGUACCCAAAUUUAAAACCUGGAUUUGAAUCAAAUUCAAUUCAUUAAGCGCCACCGAUUCUUAAUUUUUCCUGUAAAUAUUUUUUAUACAUGUAUUUUGUGCUCUCAAUUACCCUGUGGACUCGAAGUCUGAUCACAAAGAUGAUACAUCAGAAUAAAAAAGGAAGAAAUUGGUUCCCAUUCAUACUGCAUUUCACAUUUGUUUUGUUUCUUGCCCCAGAAGAUUUUUGUCUCCAAAAUGUGAAGAUCGAUGUAGGUGUUUACUUGAUGUGUAAGUUUUUAUUUGAUCUUUUUUUUAAAUUUGGAUCAGUUCCAAAGUAUUUUUUUAUCCUUUUUCCCUUUUUAAAUUCUAAUUUUAUGAGACUGUGUAGGCAUAUCUAAGGUAUGCACAUUCCUCUACAUCAAGCUUUACCUUUAUCAUCAAGGCACUCUUUUGUUUGGAUUUUUGUCCUAACUUUAUCUUACUUUGGAUGCAAAACUGUAGGUUGUUCUACAUUCACUUUGUUUGUAAAGGCAGAACGCAAAAAUCACCUUUCUUUUAUUUCACAAUGCUAUGUACUCCCUUCAUUAUGUGAUCCUUUCCUUGCUGGAACUUCUAUUUUCAGACUUUUUAGGAAUUACUGGGUUUUCUUCUUUGUUGAACACUAACCUCCUGCCUUGAGUUUCCCCAGUCUGGCCGAAUUGUGUCUGAUUUAGCUAUUUUUGUAUUUUAUUCGUUUAUAACAAAAUAAGUGUAAAAAUGAUUUUCAGAGUUGACCCAAGGUGUUAGCUAUUUUAGAUACUAGUACCAGUUACUCUGGUGGAAAAUUCAGGAAAAACCAUAUUAACUGCAAAACGAAAAAAGAAAUCUUUCUUUCCAACGUACGUUUCCAAAAAUGUAAAAUUUCAGCUAGAGUAAAAAUGAUCACAAAACGAGAGUGCAUAAAUGUAUAACAUCGGUGACACUGCAAAAACGUGAAUGUAGGUCUGCAACGCUGCAAACUUCCUGUCAUAAUUCAUACCCUAAGUGGUAAAAUACUCAGCAUCAUUCCUUGAAAACUUCCCUGAUUUUUUUGCUUAAUGUAAUGUAAACUCGGUAGAAAUUUCAAGCAUUAGUGUUGGUUUCUUUCCCUUUGAUAAAAUAAAAUGAGAGCAGAGAUUUUGAAACACCAAAAACGAGGUUUGCAUUUUUGCAGUUUCACUGUCAGUAACUAGUAUAUCACAAAAAAAUUUAAAUUCUCAAGAUUGAGGUAGACUCUAUUCCAAUUUUUUUCAGUCUAAAGCUUCAUCACUGCAAAAUUUUGGAUAGUCCAAGGAAUACAGUUAUCUGUUAGAGUAAAAUUAAAUAAAAGAAAUAUAACACCUGUGUAAAAAUAAAUUACCUCAACAUAUCGAGAAAAAAAUGAUAAUUUUCAAUUUUUUUCUGCGGUAAAAUUUAUUUUCAAGUGACAGUGUUUCAUGAAAGCUAUCUAUGAGAAUUUUUUAAUUUGUGCUUUAGUCGGUGCAAAUUUGCUUGUUUUGUAUAAAGAUUGAGGCUGUUAAGAAUUCGUAAAAUGUAAAUUAUUCUUGUAAGUGCAUUACUUUAAUAAUUUUUUUUUUUUAAAGUUUCAAACUUUCUGCACAUUGAGUAUGUCAUUUCAUAAAUAGUUCUAAUAAUAAUUGAGGGAUUGAAGUAUGCAUGUAUCAAGUCAAAGUGAAACAGGAGUAUCAUUUGUAAAAUUAUAAAAUAGGAGAAAGGCUAUUACUGUACGAGUGCAUGCAACAUGUUGACAAGAAUGAGCUUCGGUCUUGCUCUCUUUAACUGAUAUGAUGGUGGACAUUAACUUACUAUUAGGCAGAAGAAAUUUGUUCAUAUAUUGCUCUGUUUGUUUUUACACCCGUGUACUUUGUUAGAAAGAGUUGAUUACAUAUAUCAAUAAACAAGUCUAAAUUCCUAAAAUCCAAGUUUUUAAUAUCCUCUCAUUUUAUCCUUUUCCCUCUUUUACAUCUGUUGAAAAAAUAACCUGGAUUGCAGGAAUGUAUGUACCAUUUGUUGAAUUAUCGAUUAUAUUCUAGGUCCCUAGUGCCAUUGGCUUUAAAAAAAGUUAAAAAACUCCUAAAUGUUAAAGAGAAAAUUCUCAAAGAACUAUUUGAAUCGCCGCAUUAGGAAACCCGUUUUGUUCUUUUUACGUAAAAGUGCCACCUUGUACUUCGCCUUGUCUAUAAGUCUUUUAUCACUUUAUAAAUUUGAUCAUGAAUUUUACUCAAAUUUUAGUUUUUAUUUUGCAUAUUUUUCAGUCGAUUUGGUGUUAAGCAUUAGUAUGAGAACACAUAGAACUUUUAGAAUUGAACUUAUUUUGAUGCCGAUUUUUUCAUGUAAUUUUUCACACUUUUAGUCUGAAGAGAACAAGAUGGGUUUCCUUACUUGUG